CUUUCCUAAGUGAGUUAAGGCACUCUGAGUAUGCCACACCCUGGUUCCCUUAUUCUGUAAGACCGCAGAAGAGAGAAGGAGCCCAGAUGGCCCCAGGUGGGCUACUAAUCCCAGGAUUUUGAAAUCUUGAGUCUGGCCUCUGGAAGAAUUUCCCAUUCUGUACAAAGAUGAAGAAUAUACUGUUCCUUGUUCUGUUAACCUAUUUUUAUAAAACAGAAGGAUUUUUUUCCUCCCUACUGAAGGCUGUGAGCCAUGGGAAGCGUGUCAACCAUGUCAAACCAAAGGAUCAAGAAAUUGAAGAUUCCGUUCACUUGCCUUGGAGUUUGAGAGCACCCGGGACAUCUGGGAUUUGCUUCCUCGAAUCUCCAGC
This 370-nucleotide long non-coding RNA is filed under the name Homo sapiens (human). RNAcentral's name for it is "HSALNT0065309". Lineage: Eukaryota; Metazoa; Chordata; Mammalia; Primates; Hominidae. The record is from RNAcentral.